This 420-nucleotide long non-coding RNA is filed under the name Bos taurus (domestic cattle). RNAcentral's name for it is "long non-coding RNA NONBTAT001349". The record is from RNAcentral. Lineage: Eukaryota; Metazoa; Chordata; Mammalia; Artiodactyla; Bovidae.
UUGAAAAGAUAAAAUCUUACCAAAUAAAAUCAUAUAAAUAUAAAUACUUAGAAAGUUUAACAUUCAUGUAACAUUUCUAAUGCCAAGUACUCCAAAGGAAUAUGUUUUUUAUUUCAUAGCCAUAGAAUUUUUCUUGCUAAACAUUCUUUUUUUUUUUUUAAACAACUAGUUAUUCUUCUCUUGUCUAACAAGUAAUCCAUAUGAUUACUAUCAUUUAGGGCAAGAUGAUUUCUUGGAUAUUCUUUAUGUCACUAACUUCCAGGGAAAGCUCUGCUAAAAAAUAAGCAAACAAAUCUCUUCUUGCUUCUGUGUAUGUGUGUUUGCCAUUUACUUUACUGAGAUCUAAGUGUAAUUGUAAAGUAUUUUAAGCUAUGUGAUAUCAAAAUUUAGUAUCAGUUGUACAAUAAUAGUAAAUACGUG